Molecule: ribosomal RNA, 301 nt
Filed under: uncultured bacterium
Lineage: Bacteria
Description: partial 16S ribosomal RNA
Rfam family: Bacterial small subunit ribosomal RNA
Source: RNAcentral
CAGUCGCCACGGUAAUACGUAGGGUGCAAGCGUUAAUCGGAAUUACUGGGCGUAAAGCGUGCGCAGGCGGUUAUUCAAGACAGAUGUGAAAUCCCCGGGCUCAACCUGGGAACUGCAUUUGUGACUGGAUGACUAGAGUACGGCAGAGGGGGAUGGAAUUCCGCGUGUAGCAGUGAAAUGCGUAGAUAUGCGGAGGAACACCGAUGGCGAAGGCAAUCCCCUGGGCCUGUACUGACGCUCAUGCACGAAAGCGUGGGGAGCAAACAGGAUUAGAUACCCCCGUAGUCCCUGUCUCUUAUAC